RNAcentral lists this small RNA (133 nucleotides) under uncultured Clostridium sp. Its description in RNAcentral is "Ribosomal protein L10 leader". It matches the Rfam family "Ribosomal protein L10 leader", at positions 12 to 133 of the family's 138-position model. Rfam says of the family: This family is a putative r-protein leader autoregulatory structure found in B. subtilis and other low-GC Gram-positive bacteria. The record is from RNAcentral. Lineage: Bacteria; Bacillati; Bacillota; Clostridia; Eubacteriales; Clostridiaceae.
UGAUCUUUUCCAAAGACAGCAGGCGCAUAUGCAUAAUUGGUGAAUUCCAGCCUGCCGAGGAAUGAGAGUGAAGAUUUUGCAAGUAGGAUCUUUACGCCCCUUCCACGGUUGUAUGGAAGGGGCUUUUUGUGUG